CGUCGGGCCCUUAAGGGGGGUGGAUUGUAAGAUCCCACAUCGACCAAACGGAGAGGGGGUGAUGUGCCUUAUAUGGCACACCUCGCAUCCAUCUAGCACGAGGCCUUUUGGGAGCUCACUGGCUUCGGAGUUGUAAGAACUCCGAAGUUAAGCGAGUGGGAGGCUGGAGCAAUCCCAGGAUGGGUGACCACCCUGGGAAGUUGCUCCGUGAGCUCCCAGAAACAAAACCGUGCGGGCUGGUGAGAAUGUAGCCAGGCCCAAAGCGGACAAUAUCGUGCUACGGCGGAGUCGGUCCGGGGCGUGACAGCUGACGUGGCAUAUAGUACAUCACAAAACAUCCCUGAGGUUUACACACUUAUCA
Molecule: long non-coding RNA, 361 nt
Filed under: Prunus persica (peach)
Lineage: Eukaryota; Viridiplantae; Streptophyta; Magnoliopsida; Rosales; Rosaceae
Description: long non-coding RNA (PPER_LNC006425)
Source: RNAcentral